Molecule: long non-coding RNA, 1034 nt
Organism: Meriones unguiculatus (Mongolian gerbil)
Lineage: Eukaryota; Metazoa; Chordata; Mammalia; Rodentia; Muridae
Exons: 5
Source: RefSeq, a predicted model, not a curated record
CUUGGCGAUGGCGCAUGCUCAGAGGCAGGGCUCGGAGUUUUUUUGGUUGUUGUUGUUUUUUGUUUUAUGAUUUUUUUUUUCUUUGCCCGUGGAGUCCUAGGCUCCGGAUUUUAGCAGACACUCAAAGGAGAUUGGGAAAAGGAGCCCGGCUAACUGUAGCCCCUGCACCUGGAUGGGCGUGAGUUUCAGUCCGGCCUCUGGCCACCUCCUGUCACUGUAAGAUGAAGAAAACUGCAGAAACCUCGGAAGAAAGCUUCCAGCAGGGACUGUGGAGCCAAGGCUUACAUUGAACUUGCAGCCAUCCGGAUAUCGAGACUGUAGGAUGAGCUACCAUAGCAUCUUGCCAAAUUAUAUUCUUUGCAGAAGAUUCUAGAACUUCUAAUUUCUUUCUGAAUUAAAAUCAACAAACAAGACCAGACCUGGGAUAGCUUGCCUCCCCAAGGAACACUCUGAGAAGAGAAAGAAGGAACUGAAGGGACUGAGAAUGUGGAGGAGUACUGUGAAAUGCUGUCUUCUGGAUGUGACAUGGUUGGUGUAACCCUAAACACACAACAACUGUAGUUAAAUGCAUGAGACCUGCACAAGACCUGUCAACAUUCCAUCAUGGACGAAAAUAACCAUGGGCCAUUCGCUGGAACAUGGUUGACUUACCAGAGUCUGCACCCUUGAAGAAAACAGACUUUUUCUCCUAGAAGCCACAGCUAUCAACAACUCGUGAGUUCACACCCAUGAUUGAGGAACUCUAUGAAAAAUGAUGCCUGGCUUGAUCUUUUUCAGGUCUUAUUCAGGAAACCACAGUUGCUGUGAAUUUAUGAGUGAAAAGGAGGUGAAUAUAAUCAAAAUACAGUGCAUGAAAUUCUCAAAGAAUGACUACAAAUAUAUUAUUUUUAACCACAGAAAAAAGCUACAAGAUUUCCCACCUCCACUUUAGCAUGUCAACUGAUACUGCCAUUGCUCAGAUCUUGUUUAUGCAGCCACUAUAGUUUAAAAUUGUAUAAAAUAAAAUAAAUGAAUAGUUUUAAAUCAGGAGAAAA